UACUAAGGGGGCUAGCGUUGUUCGGAAUUACUGGGCGUAAAGCGCGUGUAGGCGGGUCCUUAAGUCAGGGGUGAAAUGCCAAGGCUCAACCUUGGAACUGCCUUUGAUACUGGGGAUCUUGAGUCCGGGAGAAGUGAGUGGAACUGCGAGUGUAGAGGUGAAAUUCGUAGAUAUUCGCAAGAACACCAGUGGCGAAGGCGGCUCACUGGCCCGGAACUGACGCUGAGACGCGAAAGCGUGGGGAGCAAACAGG
RNAcentral lists this ribosomal RNA (253 nucleotides) under uncultured bacterium. RNAcentral describes it as "partial 16S ribosomal RNA". It matches the Rfam family "Bacterial small subunit ribosomal RNA", at positions 524 to 776 of the family's 1533-position model. The record is from RNAcentral.